CCGGCACGGGUGAGUAACACGUAUGCAAUCCACCGGUAACAGGGGGAGUAACCCGGAGAAAUCCGACUAAUACCCAUAAUAUGGGCGCUCCGCAUGGAGAGCCCAUUAAAGAGAGCAAUUUUGGUUACAGACGAGCAUGCGCUCCAUUAGCCAGUUGGCGGGGUAACGGCCCACCAAAGCGACGAUGGAUAGGGGUUCUGAGAGGAAGGUCCCCCACAUUGGAACUGAGACACGGUCCAA
Molecule: ribosomal RNA, 240 nt
Filed under: uncultured bacterium
Lineage: Bacteria
Description: partial 16S ribosomal RNA
Rfam family: Bacterial small subunit ribosomal RNA
Source: RNAcentral